This 86-nucleotide ribosomal RNA is filed under the name Vibrio xiamenensis. Its description in RNAcentral is "16S rRNA. Bacterial SSU". It matches the Rfam family "Bacterial small subunit ribosomal RNA", at positions 1 to 84 of the family's 1533-position model. The record is from RNAcentral. Lineage: Bacteria; Pseudomonadati; Pseudomonadota; Gammaproteobacteria; Vibrionales; Vibrionaceae.
UUUAAUUGAAGAGUUUGAUCAUGGCUCAGAUUGAACGCUGGCGGCAGGCCUAACACAUGCAAGUCGAGCGGCAGCGACAUAAACAA